RNAcentral lists this ribosomal RNA (1131 nucleotides) under marine metagenome. RNAcentral describes it as "bacterial SSU rRNA". It matches the Rfam family "Bacterial small subunit ribosomal RNA", at positions 202 to 1171 of the family's 1533-position model. The record is from RNAcentral.
AAAGAAUGUAAAUUCGCUAUAAGAUGGGCCUUAGGAAGAUUAGGUAGUUGGUAGGAAAAAGCCUACCAAGCCGAAGAUCUUUAGCUGAUUUGAGAGGAUGAUCGGCCACAUUGGGACUGAGACACGGCCCAAACUCCCUUGGGAGGCAGCAGUGAGGAAUAUUGGACAAUGGACGAAAGUCUGAUCCAGCAAUGUUGCGUGAGUGAAGAAGGCUAUUUAGGUUGUAAAACUCUUUCAGUGGAAAAGAUAAUGACUUUCCGCAAAAGAAGUCCCGGCUAACUCCGUGCCAGCAGCCGCGGUAAUACGGGGGGGGCUAGCGUUAUUCGGAAUGAUUGGGCGUAAAGGGUCCGUAGGCGGUUUUUUAAGUUAGUUCUAUAACUUUAUGGGCUUAACCUGAAAAGUGAACUGAGACAAAAAAACUACGAGUUUGAGAGGGGAUAGUGGAAUUCCUAGUGUAAGGAUAAAAUCUCUAGAUAUUAGGAGGAACUUCAGUAGGCGAAGGCGACUAUCUGGCUCAAAACUGACGCUGAGGGACGAAAGUAUGGGUAUCAAAUGGGAUUAGAGACCCCAGUAGUCCAUACCGUAAACGAUGAGUGUUUUGGAUUCGGGUCCGAAAAAUUUAAUAGCCAGUAAUUUCAUGUAAAUUAGAGGCGGACAAGUGCCAAGGUUGAUUACCUAUAUACGGUAUCUUUUCCUUAAUGAUUAGGUUUGAUCAGGUAAUUUUGAGAAAAAAUAUAACCAUUCUUAUUGCUAGACAAUUAUAGGAUUCCGAGUACAAAAAUUAUAUAUUUUUAAUAAGCUAACGCGUUAAACACUCCGCCUGGGGAGUACAGUCGCAAGACCGAAACUCAAAGGAAUUGACGGGGGCUCACACAAGCGGUGGAGUAUGUGGUUUAAUUCGAUAAUACGCGCAAAACCUUACCAGUUCUUGACAUCUAUUAUUGUAUUUGAAAUUAAAGUUUCAAAAUAUUAAAAUAGACAGGUAUUGCAUGGCUGUCGUCAGCUCGUGUCGUGAGAUGUUUGGUUAAGUCCUGUAACGAGCGAAACCCCUAAAAUUAAAGUUUAUAUUUGGAUUCAAUUGCAGAAUUUAUUAUAAAUUUAAUUUUUACUGCCGAUGAUAAAUCGGAGGAA